AGACAAGACAAGAGCCAAAAGGAAGUUAGCACCUCAAAAAAUUCCUCCAGAUCACAGCAUUGAAUUAGUGGAUCUAAUGAAGCGUCAAAAUUGGUAGUGGCCAGUUGCAGUAAUCAUGCAGAAUACGGAGAUAUACAAUUUUGAUCUCUACCAGAUGAAUUGGACAUCUUGGAAAUCUUUUGCCCUGAGUUGCAAGCAGCAAAUUGUGCUGUGGAAAUGA
Molecule: long non-coding RNA, 220 nt
Filed under: Anas platyrhynchos platyrhynchos (common mallard)
Lineage: Eukaryota; Metazoa; Chordata; Aves; Anseriformes; Anatidae
Description: lncRNA (ENSAPLG00000018712.1)
Source: RNAcentral